AAGUCGAACGGCAGCGGGGAGCUUGCUCCCGCCGGCGAGUGGCAAACGGGUGAGUAAUACAUCGGAACGUGCCCAGUAGCGGGGGAUAGCCCGGCGAAAGCCGGAUUAAUACCGCAUACGACCGUACGGGUGAAAGCGGGGGACCCGAAAAGGCCUCGCGCUAUUGGAGCGGCCGAUGGCUGAUUAGCUAGUUGUGGGUAAAGGCCUACCAAGGCUACGAUCAGUAGCUGGUCUGAGAGGACGACCAGCCACACUGGGACUGAGACACGGCCCAGACUCC
This 280-nucleotide ribosomal RNA is filed under the name unidentified marine bacterioplankton. RNAcentral describes it as "partial 16S ribosomal RNA". It matches the Rfam family "Bacterial small subunit ribosomal RNA", at positions 59 to 339 of the family's 1533-position model. The record is from RNAcentral.